Regulatory RNA element from Ovis aries (sheep), 46 nucleotides. It matches the Rfam family "Histone 3' UTR stem-loop". Rfam says of the family: The mRNAs of metazoan histone genes lack a poly-A tail. 3' end processing occurs at a site between a highly conserved stem-loop (modelled by this family) and a purine rich region around 20 nts downstream (the histone downstream element, or HDE). The record is from Rfam. Lineage: Eukaryota; Metazoa; Chordata; Mammalia; Artiodactyla; Bovidae.
ACAAAGGCUCUUUUCAGAGCCACUUACGUUACCAGAGAAAGCGGCU